Molecule: ribosomal RNA, 517 nt
Filed under: uncultured bacterium
Lineage: Bacteria
Description: bacterial SSU rRNA
Rfam family: Bacterial small subunit ribosomal RNA
Source: RNAcentral
AGCAAAUAGAUACCCUGGUAGUCCACGCCGUAAACGAUGUGUACCCCGGCGCUGGGGAGUGAUUGCGCUCCUCGGUGCCUCAGCUUACGCAGUGAGUACACCGCCUGGGGACUACGGCCGCAAGGCUAAAACUCAAAGGAAUUGACGGGGGCCCGCACAAGCAGCGGAGCGUGUGGUUUAAUUCGACGCAACACGCAGAACCUUACCUAGGCUUGACAUGAUGCUGCAAGGAGUGGAAACACUUCCGCCUUCGAGGGUGCAUCACCGGUGCUGCAUGGCUGUCGUCAGCUCGUGCCGUGAGAUGUUGGGUUAAGUCCCGCAACGAGCGCAACCCUUGCCCCAUGUUACUUGUGUCAUGGGGGACUGCCGGUGCGUUGCACCGGAGGAAGGCGGGGAUGACGUCAAGUCCGCAUGGCCCCUACGCCUAGGGCGACACACACGCUACAAUGGCCGGCGGAAUGCGCGGCGACCCAGCAAUGGGGAGCUAAUCGCGAAGGUCGGUCUCAGUUCAGAUUGA